UUUUUUCUUGAGUUGUCUUCAUCAUAAUCUUAACUAGUAUUUCUAUAAUGCUUUGAAAGAUUGCAAUGUGCUUUUCCUGUGGCCUUAAUGUAUCCUGACCACAAUCUAGUGAGACAGGUAUUAUUCCAAUUUUCACAGAGGAAGAUCCUGAGGCUGAGAUCAAGUGAUCUUGACCAGAAUCCCCUAGAUAGUAAGUGAUUGAGGUAGGAUUGAGUUCAAGUCUCCCUGACUUCAAGGCCAAAACUCUAUGCACUGCAACUGAUUUUUUUUUUUUUUGAUCCUACUCCCUUAUAACAUGUGACCUGAUGAAAUUAUACUUUAUGCUUUCUGAGAUCACUUCCUGAUAGUAAUUUUGAUCCUCUGACCACUGGAGAAUAUAAAUUCUUUUUUUUUUUUUUUUUGAGAUUCAUUCAAAUAAAACCGUUAGUGUGAUAAAGUGGUAGUAUUUCUUUAUGUUCACUUCUAUGAUGUAUUCUUUUUUAGGUUAUACACAUGCAUUAAUUUUUAACAUUUCCAUAUGUAUUAUGUUGGAGAAAAAAAUAAAAGGGAAAAAUCAUGAGAAAGGAAAAAAACAAAAAAGAAAAUAGUAUGCUUUAAUCUGCAUUUGGUCUGCAUAGUUCUCUGGAUAUGGGUGGUAUUUUCCUUCCAAAGGUUUUUGGAAUUGCCUUGGAUCACUGAAUUACUGAAAGGAGCUAAGUCUAUCACAGUUGAUCAUCAUUCAAACUUGCUGUUGUCGGGUACAAUGUUUUCCUCGUUCUGCUCAAAUCACCUAGUAUCAGCUCAUUAAGAACAGAGAUAAAUUCUGAGAACAUGUUGGACUAAAUCAGAAUUUUCCAGCCUCUUCAGAUUUCCUUUACAAACAAUAAAAAGCAUGGGGUAAAUCAGUUGUACUCCUUAAUUUGAGACACUUCAGAAAAGACUGGACCUUCAGAGGCUGGGAUUGGCUUGAAUGCAGUAUGGACAUGUCCAUGUUGACACUACUGAAUUAACAAACAUCAGGAUCUGGAGCAGCUCUAAAAGGAAGGGAACUAGGUGAGAGGAUUCUGGGAAGAUGACCAAAUAGAUUUCUAAAAAGGCAAACAAACAACUUUUGGCUCUCCAAAUUUCCUCUACAAAAGAAGUCAGGACAUUCCUCAGAAGGAACAUUGAGCAGCAGAAAUAAAGGGAGUUGGGGUAAAACACAGUGUCCUCCUAAGACAACUUGAAAAGAACCAAGGGAAGACCAGACCUCCAGGAUCAGAGUUUCAGCCUCAGUGAAGUACAAACCAGUGAAGGCAGACUUUGAGGAAUCCACAAACAACAUACCCUGGGGGUAGUUGGAUCAAGAGGCAGCCUCAGCCUCAGGAACUUUCACCUCAUGGAUAGUGUGAGAGUCUGAAGGCUGAGUAGAACAUUGAAGGAACUUCCCCUGUCUAGAAAUGCCAUGUGCAAUGAUGCAGAUCAGACUUGUGUGGGAUAAUAGCGAAUACUAAUACAAUCUGGAGUCGGAGUCUGAAUGCAGGAAAAAACAUUUAUUUCUUUCUCAUGAGAAAGGAUGAACAGUCUCUGACAUUCAAGAGAUCCCCACACAAACAAGCCAGAGGUAGUCCCUGGUUAUCCCCUAAGAGCUCUCCUGUCCAAACCCCUAGCUGCUUUCCAAACUAUUGGCUGGCAUUGGGAGCCCACAUUCUAAAGCAGAGUUUCUAAGAAUGCAGUGGAGGUUUUCUGCCUGGAGCUAAGGAACAAGGAAGAAGUUUUGAAAAAGAUGAAGGAAAUCUGAGGCUAUCAAAUGCUUACCAGGGUGUUUUUACAAAUGAAGCAGAUUAGCAGUGUAAUGCUGGAGAAACUGAGGCAAGACAGAAAUUAGGUUUUUAAUAUUUUAAUAAUGAAGAACUAGGACUAGCAAUUGAACAGAACUCAUGCUCCAUCUCUAGCCAGCUGAAUGGGACUCUUGUCUCAAAGUAUCCAGCAUCCAGCAAUUAAUUCCAGAGAUUUCUACAGGGCUCCAGCUAUCAGGAAAACAAAGGCAAGGGGGGGAGGGGUGAGAAACGGGGGAGGGCAGAGCACUGGAUGAGUGUGAGAAAUGAGGGUUGAGAGAUCCCCUGACAACAAUGGGACCCACUGGCUCCUCUGCAGGCUUUGCAAAGAAUCUGCAAACCCGAAUGAAUACAGGCUUCAGGUUUGUGGCAAGAAUGGGUUUAUUACUGAGAAGAGAAAUAGUUUCAUCAGCCGGCAAACUCCUGUUAGGACUUUUACUAAGAUGAGAAGCAACUUAGUGGGCAUUCCUGAUUAGGAAUUAGUAGUGAUGGAUUCACGGGUUUCUAGUUAUGUGGGAUUUGUUUUUGCUCCUAGCUUGUAAGGGUUAAAGGCCUCUGGAGCAAGGAAUGCAGUUUAAGGCAUGUGGGAGGACCUGAAGGAUGAGCGGUACCCAGGUGCAAGUGAGUCCUAUGUGGAAGUGGGGCUUAUCCCCAGGAGACAGUGUCUGACCUCAGGUACCAGUCUCCCUCCUUAGGGCUCUCAAAGACUAGCAAGCCUCCCGCCCUCUUCUCAGGCCAAUCCCAUUGUGCCAGGUUCCUAGAGGACCCCCCCCCUACCACUUCCCCCAGAUCUUCAGCGGGGUAUAAAUAUGUGCUCUCUAAGAAUAAAGUUCUCUUUCCUUCACCCCUAA
This is a long non-coding RNA of Antechinus flavipes (yellow-footed antechinus), 2647 nucleotides long. RefSeq lists it as uncharacterized. Lineage: Eukaryota; Metazoa; Chordata; Mammalia; Dasyuromorphia; Dasyuridae. The transcript is spliced from 2 exons. The record is from RefSeq and is a predicted model, not a curated record.